GGGUCAGUAGGUUGGUCGUGCCACCGGUACGUACUGGUCUCACUGAUUCCUCCUUCCUGAAGAACCGUAAUGCCAUUAAUUUGGUGUUGCGGGGGAAACAGGACUGUUACUUUGAAAAAAUUAGAGUGUUUAAAGCAAGCUGACGCUUGAAUACAUUAGCAUGGAAUAAUGAAAUAGGACGAUCGAUCCUAUUUUGUUGGUUUCUAGGAUUGACGUA
Molecule: ribosomal RNA, 217 nt
Filed under: Glomeromycotina sp.
Lineage: Eukaryota; Fungi; Glomeromycota
Description: partial small subunit ribosomal RNA
Rfam family: Eukaryotic small subunit ribosomal RNA (bases 32-217)
Source: RNAcentral